GGGAACUUGGGUAGCCUGAUCAUGCAGUCGAGCGAGUCGAUGGGAGCUUGCUCCCUGAGAUUAGCGGCGGACGGGUGAGUAACACGUGGGCAACCUGCCUAUAAGACUGGGAUAACUUCCGGAAACCGGAGCUAAUACCGGAUACGUUCUUUUCUCGCAUGAGAGAAGAUGGAAAGACGGUUUACGCUGUCACUUAUAGAUGGGCCCGCGGCGCAUUAGCUAGUUGGUGAGGUAAUGGCUCACCAAGGCGACGAUGCGUAGCCGACCUGAGAGGGUGAUCGGCCACACUGGGACUGAUAGCCCUGCCCAGACUCAUACGGGGGACAGCGGUAGGAUAUCUUCCGCGAUGGACGAAAGUCCGACGGAGCAACGCCCUGUGAACGAGGACGGCCUUCGGUUCGUCAGGCUCUGAUGGUAGGGAACGAACGAGUACGAGAGUUACUGCUAGUACCUGAACGGUAGCUAACCAGAAAGCCACGCCUCACUACGUGUCAGCAGCAGCGGAUAAUACGUACGCGGCAAAGCGUUGUCCUGUAAUUAUUGCGCGUAAAGCGCGCGCAGGUGGUUUCCGUAAGUCUGAUGUGAAAGCACACCGUCUCAACCAUGGAGGGCUCAUUUGAAACUGGGGAACUUGAGUGCAGAAGAGGGAAAGUGGAAGUUCGAAGUGUAGCGGUGAACUGCGUAGAGAGUUGAGAGGAACACCAGUGAGGAAAGCGACUUUAUGGUCUGUAACUGACACUGAGGCGCGAAAGCGUGUGGAGCAAACAGGAUUAGAUACCCUGGGUAGUCCACGCCGUAUACGAUGAGUGCUAAGUGUUAGAGCGUUUCCGCCCUUUAGUGCUGCAGCUUACGCAUUAAGCACUCCGCCUUGGGGAGUACGGCCGCAAGGCUGAAACUCAACCCAAUUGACGAGGAGCUCGCACAAGCGGGUGGAGCAUGUGGCUUUAAGUUGGAAGCAACGCGUAGACCGUUACCUAGGUCUUGACAUCCCUCUGACCACCCAUAAACAUAGGGCUAUUGCCCCUUCUGGCGGGACAGAGUGACAGGUGGUGGGAUGAUUGUCCGUCAGGCUCCCGUCGUGAGAUGUGGGGUUUAGUCCCGCCCACGAGCGCAACCGCACAUCCUAGAGGCCAUCAUUCAGUUGGGCAUCUCCAACGUGACUGCAGGUGUCCAUCGGGACGAAUUGCAUAGGAUGACGUCCACUCAUCAUGCCCCCCUUAUGUACCUGGCAGACACGCCGAUCACACUGUAUGGUACAAAGGGCUGCAAACCUGCGAAGGUAAGCGAAUCCCAUAAAGCCAUUCUCAGUUCGGAUUGCAGGCUGCAACUCGCCUGCAUGAAGCCGGAAUCGUUAGUAAUCGCGGAUCAGCAUGCCGCGGUGAAUACGUUCCCGGGCCUUGUACACACCGCCCGUCACACCACGAGAGUUUGUAACACCCGAAGUCGGUGAGGUAACCUUUAUGGAGCCAGCCGCCUAACGGUGGGACAGAUGAUUGGGGCAAGUCGAACAGUCAGAGCC
Molecule: ribosomal RNA, 1519 nt
Filed under: Bacillus toyonensis
Lineage: Bacteria; Bacillati; Bacillota; Bacilli; Caryophanales; Bacillaceae
Description: bacterial SSU rRNA
Rfam family: Bacterial small subunit ribosomal RNA
Source: RNAcentral